Molecule: long non-coding RNA, 1361 nt
Organism: Aedes albopictus (Asian tiger mosquito)
Lineage: Eukaryota; Metazoa; Arthropoda; Insecta; Diptera; Culicidae
Exons: 2
Source: RefSeq, a predicted model, not a curated record
ACCGAUUCGGAAGCGUCGCUUUCCACGGUCGAAGCGUCGUGGCGAUACGAGUGACAGCUGUCACCAUCAGAAUGCGAGCUGUCACAUAUCUAUUUCCGGUUCUCAGUUAGCACAUUUUCAGUAAAGGUGAAGUGCGAAGAUCACGAUUGCUGAAGAAAUCGUCCAUUAGUUUUCCUAUAUUAAUCCAGUAUACAGAAAAGUAUUAUCUUUUGCUUUCGCUGAAGUGUUUUUGCUUUCACUGAACGACUAGUGCAGUGAUUCGCAGUAAGUUAGUGACCAUUCCACAUAGCCCAGUCAGUGUCCGAGUCCGAUUCAUAGUCAGGUGCUCCGUCGUUCAUUGUUUAUGCGGUAACGAAAAGUAAGCACUAGAAAUUUGUAAAGAAAAUGUUCCAUACUAAAAUUAAACACUUCAGGUCGUCGGUCCUCAGUACUCGAUUGAGGUUAGAAAAGGGCGUGCAAGAAGCCUAAAGUUCACCGAAUUGUAAGUACUAAUAAAAUACGUAACGCAGUGAGAAAAUACUAACCAUAACCAUGUUACAGUUUGAAGCAACAACAACAACACCACAUCGCAUAUUAAAGAAUUUGCUAUCAAAACCGGUACGACUUUCAAUCACGCCCAACAGCCCCGACACAAUUUAUUUCGAACUUUUUUUUGGUUUACGCAAAAUUGUGACUACUAACAACGCCUGGUAUUUUUUUGGUACCAAACAAAGCUUUAACAACAAUUUAGGAGCCAUUUGUAGUCUCAAAAAUGGCUAAUUUUGACCGCGUGAAGAAAAUUAGCUCAAACUUAUUGUAAAAUUUAUAGAUUUGGUAAUAUUUUAAGAAAUAAUCAAAUUCUGGGUUGACAUGAGCUGAACUACACAGUUUAUAUUAUGAGUUAAGCCCCAAUCCACUCUAAAAUCUCUUUUCCGGCUUUUUGUCGAAGUCAAAAGAAGAAAAGUACCCUAAACGGGCAGUGGCAAGAAUAUUGCCACCAGCGCUGGUGGCCUAAACGGGCAGUGGCAACUAUAUUGCCACCUCAAAAGCUCGUUUUUGGGGUUAACGGGCAGUGGCAACUAUAUUGCCACCUAGGUUUUUGAUAGUUUCUUUCAAACAAAAAUUGUUUUGUACAUGUAAUCAUGUAUAUAAUCAUUUCCAUAAUAGUAUGCAUUGCCAACUCUUCUAGUUUUCUCGGCCUUAUAAAGGGUUAAUAAGGGAACCAAUACCCUAUGCCGCUUCGUACCUACCCGAAGCUUGAUAAAAGUGACACCGCCAAUGUGUGAAUCACAAUCAAACUUUUGGUAUGAUUCUGUUUGCAAUAUAAUACAACUUGUUUUUAAAAGCGAUAUCAGUGAUUCUUCUUCAGAUAAACAUAAAAA